AGCAGCCGCGGUAAUUCCAGCUCCAAUAGCGUAUAUUAAAGUUGUUGCAGUUAAAAAGCUCGUAGUUGAAUUUCGGGGUUAGUAGGUUGGUCAUGCCUCUGGUACGUACUGGUCUCACUGAUUCCUCCUUCCUGAUGAGCCGUAAUGCCAUUAAUUUGGUGUUGCGGGGAAUUUGGACUGUUACUUUGAAAAAAUUAGAGUGUUUAAAGCAAGCUAACGCUUGAAUACAUUAGCAUGGAAUAAUGAGAUAGGACGUUUGAUUCUAUUUUGUUGGUUUCUAGGAUCGACGUAAUGAUUAAUAGGGAUAGUUGGGGGCAUUAGUAUUCAAUUGUCAGAGGUGAAAUUCUUGGAUUUAUUGAAGACUAACUACUGCGAAAGCAUUUGCCAAGGAUGUUUUCAUUAAUCAAGAACGAAAGUUAGGGGAUCGAAGACGAUCAGAUACCGUCGUAGUCUUAGCCAUAAACUAUGCCGACUAGGGAUCGGAUGAUGUUAAUUUUUUAAUGUACUCA
Molecule: ribosomal RNA, 509 nt
Filed under: uncultured Glomeraceae
Lineage: Eukaryota; Fungi; Glomeromycota; Glomeromycetes; Glomerales; Glomeraceae
Description: SSU rRNA
Rfam family: Eukaryotic small subunit ribosomal RNA
Source: RNAcentral